This 72-nucleotide transfer RNA is filed under the name Pleodorina starrii. It matches the Rfam family "tRNA". Rfam says of the family: Transfer RNA (tRNA) molecules are approximately 80 nucleotides in length. Their secondary structure includes four short double-helical elements and three loops (D, anti-codon, and T loops). The record is from Rfam by way of RNAcentral. Lineage: Eukaryota; Viridiplantae; Chlorophyta; Chlorophyceae; Chlamydomonadales; Volvocaceae.
GAGCCUAUGGCUUAUGGAUGAUGCGCCGGUCUACGGAACCGGAGAUUCCAGAUUCGAUCCCUGAUAGGCUCG